Molecule: long non-coding RNA, 789 nt
Organism: Anguilla rostrata (American eel)
Lineage: Eukaryota; Metazoa; Chordata; Actinopteri; Anguilliformes; Anguillidae
Exons: 2
Source: RefSeq, a predicted model, not a curated record
GCCCUGCAAGCAGGCUUUUAUUUACAACUGACCGUCCAGGUGGCAUUGUACUCAACAAAUAUCUGCUCAAUCACUCUAAAUUGGCGGGGGGCUCAAACCCCAGUCCUGGGGGGGGCUGCAGUCUUAGGCUGCGGGUUUUUGGGAUUUUUUUGUGGCUUAAAUCAGGGCCAAGGUUUUAUCUGAAAAGGGCGGGUGUGGGUGCGGGUUUUUGAUUCAACCCAGCUCUAAGACACCGUCACAGUACCAGGUCUGGCUAACGGCAUUGCCCGACCAGCAAGUGCACACGUGCUACCACUAAAGCAGUGGGAACCAACCCCGUUCCUGGAGGGCCACCGUCCCCUAGGUUUUCAUUCCAACCCUAAUGGGGCACAUCUGACUCUACUAAUUGGCAGCUCAAUACAGACCUUUAGCUGUUAAGUGAGAUGUGCUUUGUUAGGACUGGAGUGGAAACCUACAGGACGAUAGAGCUCCAGGAACGGGGAUGGUCACCACUGAGGGAAAGCAUCAAAUUCGGACACAAAGGAAGAACUUGUGUGGAUACGAGGAAUGCACUUCUGCUCUGCCCGUAGGCAACAAUGGAAGUGUGGGUCUGAGUCAUGAUUUCCUGCACAGGGCACAGUUUUCACUUGUUUUACGCAAGGCCAUUUUGUGUUGAUUCAAAAAAAAAAAAAAAAAGAGCUUACAUUUCAUUAAUGAAACUUAAAAAUGGCCAAUUAGAUUUUUAGCGUAUUAAAUAUUUCCGGAAUUGUCUUAAAUGGAAUAAAAUGGUCUGUAAAACCCUGAACAAUG